GACGAACGCUGGCGGCGUGCUUAACACAUGCAAGUCGAGCGGUAAGGCCCUUUCGGGGGUACACGAGCGGCGAACGGGUGAGUAACACGUGGGUGACCUGCCCUUAGCUCUGGGAUAAGCCUGGGAAACUGGGUCUAAUACCGGAUAUGACUCCAUGACGCAUGUUGUGGGGUGGAAAGCCUUGUGCGGCUAGGGAUGGGCCCGCGGCCUAUCAGCUUGUUGGUGGGGUGAUGGCCUACCAAGGCGACGACGGGUAGCCGGCCUGAGAGGGCGACCGGCCACACUGGGACUGAGACACGGCCCAGACUCCUACGGGAGGCAGCAGUGGGGAAUCUUGCGCAAUGGGCGAAAGCCUGACGCAGCGACGCCGCGUGAGGGAUGACGGCCUGGUGU
RNAcentral lists this ribosomal RNA (393 nucleotides) under uncultured bacterium. RNAcentral describes it as "bacterial SSU rRNA". It matches the Rfam family "Bacterial small subunit ribosomal RNA", at positions 28 to 422 of the family's 1533-position model. The record is from RNAcentral.